Molecule: ribosomal RNA, 442 nt
Filed under: uncultured bacterium
Lineage: Bacteria
Description: partial 16S ribosomal RNA
Rfam family: Bacterial small subunit ribosomal RNA
Source: RNAcentral
CCUACGGGGGGCUGCAGUGGGGAAUAUUGCACAAUGGGGGGAACCCUGAUGCAGCAAUGCCGCGUGAAGGAUGAAGGUUUUCGGAUUGUAAACUUCUUUUGUACGGGACGAAGAAAGUGACGGUACCGUAAGAAUAAGCCACGGCUAACUACGUGCCAGCAGCCGCGGUAAUACGUAGGUGGCAAGCGUUAUCCGGAUUUACUGGGUGUAAAGGGUGCGCAGGCGGGCCUUUAAGCCGGCGGUGAAAUCGCGGGGCUCAACCCCGCCGAGCCGUCGGAACUGGGGGCCUUGAGUGCGGCGGAGGCAUGCGGAAUGCGCGGUGUAGCGGUGAAAUGCAUAGAUAUCGCGCAGAACCCCGAUUGCGAAGGCAGCGUGCCGUGCCGCCACUGACGCUGAGGCACGAAAGCGCGGGGAUCGAACAGGAUUAGAUACCCUUGUAGUC